This is a long non-coding RNA of Oncorhynchus nerka (sockeye salmon), 547 nucleotides long. RefSeq lists it as uncharacterized. The transcript has 3 exons. NCBI's taxonomy places the organism in Eukaryota, Metazoa, Chordata, Actinopteri, Salmoniformes, Salmonidae. The record is from RefSeq and is a predicted model, not a curated record.
GCAUCAUGAGAUAAAUAAGUUGCGAUCUGGAACAUAAUGAGGGAAUCUUUUAUUUGUAUAUAUGUCCUCUCUGUACUUCCUUAGUGUGGACCUUUUCCAUCCAGACAAACAUUUCAGUAUUGUUCUACUGUCUUUGGUUUCAUUUAAAAGAACGGAAAUAGUAUCGUACAUCUAAGGAAGGGAAUUCAACCAAUAGGAUUUUGCAAAAUCCUAAACUGACGUAAACCCGGUAACGAUGAAUAACCGGUAGUAGAAGAGACAUCUGUGUUGCGCUAUCCCGUUAAAUAAAUAGUUUUAAAAUACUCAUCUAAAACGUGCAAACAUCAUGGUUUUCCAUGUAAGGAGAAUAAUACGAAAUGCUCUGAGACCAGGCUGGGUAUACUGUUCCAAAGCACACAGCCAUUGUUUGCACACAGCUGGUCAUCAUGGCUGGGAUGUGCCUGGCUGCCUGAGCUGUAGGAACGGCUUCAAGUUGCUUCAUCAAGGUUGGAUGUCUACAGGAAAGUCCCCAAAGACCUGACCCAGCCCACGUACACAGGAGCUGUGG